Long non-coding RNA from Alosa sapidissima (American shad), 177 nucleotides. RefSeq lists it as uncharacterized. The record is from RefSeq and is a predicted model, not a curated record. Lineage: Eukaryota; Metazoa; Chordata; Actinopteri; Clupeiformes; Clupeidae. The transcript has 3 exons.
AUGUAAUAAUAAUAAUAAUUAACAGAACCUUAAAAUCAAUUACAUAGGAAACAGGGAGCCCGCGCAGUUCAGCUAACACAGGGGUGAUGUGCUCUCUCUUCUUGGUCUUAGUUAAGAAUCUAGCAGCAGAGUUCUUCCAAUUCCUUAUGCUUUUGUAGGAGACCAGUAAAAAGUGCA